CGUGCCCCGACCGUCAAAAUCGUCAAAGCCAAAGCUGUGCCUCACUCGUGGGCUUUCGCAAUAAGAUUUCGAAGGGUCUGGGCGUAUACAGACAAGAAGCAAGCAGCAAACGAGAGACUGGAAUGGAAGCCGCAAACAAGAAAGUUGCUGCAGCCCAUAUAGGGCUCCAGUGAUGAACAUGGCUGCCCAGGAAAACAUAUCUUUGUGUUGAAGCCAGUCUGUGCAUAUUUUAAUGAAGACUAUGAGGUCUGCACCUCGUUCCACACUCACAAAGCUGGCCAGACAGCUGUGGAGUGAGGGCCCCCAACACCAUGCCUCUGCUAUUGGGUCAUCACUACUACACUUCUCAGGCAUUGUUCUUCCCUUGGACAAUGACAAAACGCUAACUGCAAGGAGCGUGGAGAAAGGAUUGGCGCUUCAGCUCGUAGUGUAUUUCAACUACGAUGUGCAGUGCCUGCCACCAACGUUUCUUAUGUUACAAUCCAUGCAAUGCUAUUUGGGACACAUCAGCACUGAAAGAGGAACAAAGCACCCCAAUGGUAAUCAAGCUUAAGUAGCAUACCUGUUUGCGUUCUGUCACUCAUCUGCGAACUGGGGUAAAGUUGAAAGGAGCCAUUCCAAGCUGCUGUGCUGGAGAAAGCUACUGCACUGUACAUUUCAGUGAAUAUAUUGCUUUAUGAACACAUAACAUGUGGUGUGGGUGUCUGAUAAUGAUACAGGCCAAACACUAUUUCAUGAAAUGAUAGACAGUAAUUUUUACAGGCUGGUGCAUGUUUCUAUAAUACAGUAUCCAAUCAUAAUAAUGAUUAGCCAUUAAACAACAAGAACACAUCUUUUAGCUCGGGUUAACACGUAAUGUAGGAAUACAGCGGCAUGUGAAUUUCACGAU
Ornithodoros turicata is the source of this 889-nucleotide long non-coding RNA. RefSeq lists it as uncharacterized. NCBI's taxonomy places the organism in Eukaryota, Metazoa, Arthropoda, Arachnida, Ixodida, Argasidae. The record is from RefSeq and is a predicted model, not a curated record. The transcript has 7 exons.